AUAGAUGUCUUCAAUUACGUCGAAUCAGAUUCUGAUAUUGAAGAUAGAUUUCUUUUUCCCAAUAAAGAUGAUUGGGAUACUGGAAUAACUUUUACUGCACGAACUACAGGUGAAGUGAGUAAAGUUUCAACACCUACUGCCACAGAAACAGUUUUACCAUGGAAAAGAGAGGAAGACAACCAUUCUACCAAAGCAUUACAACAAAAUGAAUUUCCAGCUUGGUGUUCCAAUAAGGAUUAUUUAAUAUACAGUUCCCCAUGUACAACAUUUUUAGGUCGAACGGAGCAAUAAAUUUGGUAGCCAUUGAACUUCAUGGAAAAUUACAAUCCGUAAAGAAUAUUAAAACUUUCACAAUUGGUGAAAUGUGCUUUAAAAAUAAUAAUGAAGUAAUUUUAAUAAUUGGCAGUAACAUUUUAGAAGGACGACAAAUAUUAUUAGAUAAACCAAUAGUGAUAUUACAAAAAAAAAUCAAUGAUUUCUCCAGUGAUAA
Ceratosolen solmsi marchali is the source of this 490-nucleotide long non-coding RNA. RefSeq lists it as uncharacterized. NCBI's taxonomy places the organism in Eukaryota, Metazoa, Arthropoda, Insecta, Hymenoptera, Agaonidae. The record is from RefSeq and is a predicted model, not a curated record. The transcript is spliced from 3 exons.